Long non-coding RNA from Gorilla gorilla gorilla (western lowland gorilla), 6223 nucleotides. RefSeq lists it as uncharacterized. The transcript has 2 exons. The record is from RefSeq and is a predicted model, not a curated record. NCBI's taxonomy places the organism in Eukaryota, Metazoa, Chordata, Mammalia, Primates, Hominidae.
UUUCCUGCACCUCUGUCCAUUUCUCCAUGUGAGGAUACAAUGUCCAUCCUCACAUGGACAUUGCCUCAGAGGCAUGAGAACAGAGGUGGACCUAGCUUAGAUGGAUGAAAAACAGAGAAUAUCUGCACCUGGUCACACCUGGGCACCACAGUGGGUGUAUUCCUAUGGCUCCCACUCCAUCUUUAAAAGGGCCUCAGCUGGAUACAGCCCAACUGAGAAGAAAUUCAAAAGGAGUCAACACCACGGCCACUGACAAUCACAAAUAUCCCAAAGGAAGAAAUGUAGCAGUAUUUCCGGGGCAUCCUAUCCUGAGACCAAGACUGAAAGAAUUAGAGAUAGUUAUGAUCAUCAGGAAGGAUCUGAGGUGAAAUCGUUCUUCUGAAAGCUAACCUGGCAGGAGUUUUUCCAGUAGUGGGCAUUUAAGUCACCUGGGAAAGAGGGCUAAGGACACUCUCUCGCCUGGCUUCCAGUGACUCCGGCACAGUCCAGGUCAAUCUGUCUCUCUCAACCUUCAUUUUUGCAUGUUCUUCCAUCAGUGGAUCUCUAUGUUAUACUUCCACAAAUUAAAAUCAUUUGGUGAGAUUUUUCAAAACAACUACUGCCACAGCCUUACACUCGGCAAUUCUGUCUCAAAUGGUUGGGGUCAGGCUCUUGGGCUUCAAUAUGUUAAAGCUCCCCAGGUGAUUGUAGCAGCACUUCCUUAACUCCUAGUGCAAUGUCAUGCUCAUGGUAGGUUCUCAUUAAAUGCCAGCUAACACUGGUUAACAGUGUGCUGUGAAUCAAAUCAGGGCCAUUGCUUUUAAGUCUGUGCCAUUUGGAAUACACGCUAUUUGUAUCUCUGAGCAUUUUAACAGAACUUCAAGCCAUUUACAACUGCUCAUAUUGAGAAUUUUGCAGUUUUUCACAGCUCAGUUUUAUAGACUUCUAUGAGUCAUGUUACAUUCAGUAAACUUGCCUCAACAAGCUAAAAGAAAAUGCCAAAAAUUAGCACUCCCACUGUUCAGGAGAGUGUAUUUUGUCUUUCUAUAACUGCCUCAAUUCCAGCACUUAGCAGGAAGACAUUUAAAUCUUUAUUGUAUUCCUAUCUAUCAGAAAAAUAGAAGAAUUUACAAGUUUGACACUAAACAACCACAGAUGGAAGAUUUGAAGUAAGAUCACACAUUUUAUACUGAAGUCUAAUGUAGCUAUCAACAAAUGCAGACUGACACUUAGGACAGAAUCCAUCCGACCUCCCCUGUGGCUUUGGGGAGAAUGUAACAUAUUCAUUAAAGAAUGUCCUACAAAAUUUUCAAAUGUCAAAAUACAAUAUAAUUAUAUUGAGAAAAUCCUUUAAAUUUAGUAAUGGAAAUUUCAUAAUACUGCUGAGAGAGAAAAUUGCCAGUUUGUAAUUAUGCCUUUUUCUCCACAGGUAUCACUCAUUACAGAAACUAGAAUAACAUCAUGAUAAUAAGAGUGCUAAACAAGAAAGCAGGAAAAACAUAUGUACACAUAUCAGAUGACCUACAUUAUAAACAAAAAAUACUUUGUUCUCUAUUGCCAUGAUUUUUGUUUGUAUAUAAAUCUAUUUACAUACAUUUUGUAUAUAUUUGUAUACAAAUCUAUUUAUAUACAAACAAUAUAAGAAAGGCAGAAAGGCUUCUGAUUUAAACUUUAUUUACUGAUGAAAAUAUAUUUUAGAAAGCUUCUCAAUAAUACCCAGCAGCAGCCCCAUUCGGGUUUGCUUUGUUUGUUACGGGAAAUCCAAGUUCAGCCUCCUGGCCAGGCACUGAUAGUUGAACUCACCACAUACCACAAUCUGAACUUUUCUUCUCUUCCUCCAAAAUCCUCUUGCUAUGCUCACUACAACUUCUGUUCUAAAACAGGAGAACUUUCCUAUAUCUUUUACCACCUCUUAAAAUUCUCUCUUCACUUCCUAGCCUUAAGAAUCACCCGGGAAUCAUUUUAAGAUUCUUUUUCAAUGCCGGAGCCCUAGCCAAGACCAAUUAAAUCACAAUUUCUAGGUAUUUGUCAUAGACAUCAGUGGUUUUGAAAGUCCCCAGGUGAUUCCAAUGUACAGACCAUUUUGAGAACCAGUUGGCUAUUGGUUCUUUAAUAUGUUAGUUAUUUGCUAGUACUUUCAAAAUCCUUCCUUUUUUUGACAGGUGCCUGACAAAACUACAAUCCUUGAUCAACACUAGCCCUCUAGGAAAAAAGGCACACAACCAAGAGGCUGGAUCAAUUUGUACUCCUGAUUACAAAUAUCUAACGAACAUGCAAUAUUACCUGGACACCCUACUAUAGUUCUCUGGUAUUUUCACUCCUAGAGAUGUCUAUCUCAUACCUUCUAUUUUUUCAAACAUCUCUUAUUCCUUCCUCCUUUUGCUCUCAAAUGAUAAUCUCACUGAGAAUAUAAAAGUUAUCAAUCAUGAACUUUUUCAUCUUCACAAAACCCCACUUACAACCAACCUUCACCUGUAUUCAUUUUUGUCUUUUUUCUGGGGGGAAGGAGGACUUCUGUAUAAACAUUUACCUUUCCACUUGUGCUUUGGAACUACAGUUCUCCUUUAGGCAGCCCCUUUCCCUUCUACAUUGAUCUUGCUCUCACCACGGAAUCAUCCCCUUUGAAUAGGCCUUUUCUGAACACAAACAUGUUCUUACAUUUCAUAAGAAAACAAACCUCUCUUGAUCCCCAUCCCACUCGAACUGCUAUGUUAUUUAUCUGCUGCCUUUAUUAGACAAACACCUCAAAAGAGCUGUCUGCAAAAGCAUUACUUGACUUUCACUUUUAAACCCACUCUAUUCUGGCUCUCACGCUCAUCAUCCCCUCAGAAUCAGUCUCGUCUAGUUCACCACUGGCAACUUAUUUGUCCUCAUUUCAUUCAGCUGCUUAACAUUAUUCAACAUGGAUGGCCAUCUCCUCUUUUUUCAAAUACUAUAUUUUGGUUUUCAAGGUGUUGAAAUCUCAGGAUAUGUCUUCUUUUUUCCCUAUCAUUCCUUCUCAGUCUGCUUUUAUGCCUUCUCUUUGUUGAGAUAUCAGUGUUCCUCUGGGAUCCUGGACUUUCUUUUCUUCCUGGUUCAUGGUUCUCAGUUCCAGGAGCUGACCUCAUUAGUAUCAUGGCUCUAGCAAAAUUCAUAUGUUGAGAAAUACCAAUUUUAUUUAUCCAGUUCUCCGAGUUCAAACUGUUUGCCACUUCAUUUGAGUAUUUCAAAGAAACAUGAAGAUAAUAUACCUAAAACUAAACUCCUCACCUUCACUUCUAACCUGACUCUAGCCUUAUUUGUCUCAUACAAAGUGGUACCAACAGGUAAUGGCUGCUUAAGCCAAAAACCUGAAGUCAUUCUUUGAUUCCUCUCUUUGUCUUAUGGCGAAAGACUAUUACUAAGACUUCUUGAUUAAAUCUACCUCCAAAAUUAUAUCUUGACUCUUCUUGCCUCUUUCCAUCUCCACUGCUAUCAUUGUCACUCUUUUGACUACUUCAACAACCUCCUGAGUAGUAUCCCUGCAUUUACUCUUGCCCUAGUCAAUCCUUAAAAAGCAACAAAGGUUAUCUUUGUCAAACAGAUUGCACCUUCAUAUGACUGUCUUUAAAAUGCAUCUGAAGUUAUAAUGCAAUGUCCACUUCUUUACCAAGACCUAUAAUGACCUUUAUGAUCUAACUCCUGCCUGCCUUUCCUAUUUCUUGAGUACUAAGUUACAGUGACACUAGUCUCCUUUAAUUUCCUUGAAUUCCCCCAGCAUUUUCCCACCCCUGGGCUUUUGAACAUUCUGUAACCUCUCUUUAGAGAGUGUUUUUCUGUGAUCUUUAUAAAGUAUAUUUCAAGUAUUUAAAGAUCUAGCUUACAGCCAUCUUUGGAUUCUCAAUUUUUUUUUUUUUUUUGAGAUGGAGUCUCGCUCCGGCACCCAGGCUGGAGUGCAGUGGCACGAUCUGGUCUCACUGCAACCUCUGCCCCCCAGGUUCAAGUGAUUCUACUGCCUCAGCCUCCCAAGUAGCUGAGACUACAGGUGCGUGCCACCAUGCACGGCUAAUUUUUGUAUUUUUAGUAGAGACGGGGUUUCAUCACGCUGGCCAGGCUGGUCACCAACUUCUGACAUCAAGUGAUCCACCAGCCUCAGCCUCCCAAAAUUGUGUUCUCAAUUUUAACAAUGUUUUUGUUUUCUUUGUGUCACUUAUCAUUUGCAGUUUUUUUGUUGUUUGUUUUGUUUUGUUUUGCCAUUUCUCUCUGUUGCCCUUAACAGAAAUUAAGCUUCCUGAGGAAAGAGGCUAUAUUUAUCCUGACCACUUUGUAUGUCAAGCAUUUAGUAGAGUAACUAAAACAAUUCCUAGUACGGAAAGUGUACUUAGUAACUACCUGAGUUAAUGAAUGAGUGAAUGAAAGCAAGCAUUCCAAAAGUUCCCAAAUGCUUUAAGGACUGUUCUUAAAAGGUUGACUUAAGGGAGGAAAAAGACUUAAAAAAUAUUGUGUGUCUAUAUCUGUGUUAGACACUAACGUGUGUGUGUGUAUAUAUAUAUAUAUGUGCAUGUGAGUAUAUGUGAAGACAUACAUGAGUAUGUAUGUGUGUGUAUAUAUAUACAUAUAUAAAUGAAGAGAUAACAUUUAUACACAGAUUGUGAGCUAAAUGGAGAGAUAACAUGUAUACACACAUUGUGAGCUAUCUAGGAGAAACCAUUGACUAUUAAAAUGCCAUAAGCAUUCCAGCUACCACCCCCCAAAAUAUGAAUUGACAUUUUAAAGAUCUAAAAAAAAUACCGAAUUACAUGUGACCAAUAUUAGAAAGGAGCUAUACUUAACAUGUUACUUCAAUUCACUAGUGACACAACUGUUUUAUGGAACAUUUAUAUUUAUAUGAUAAAAAUUUAAUUUUUCCCAAAUGUCCAAAUUACAUUUGAAAACUAAUUUUUUAAUGUUUUGAGUAUAGUUAUUACUGACAUUAGUACUAAUAAGGGUAAACAAUAGGGGAAUUUAAAAAACUAAUUUAAAUGUAGGACAUUAGGAAUUAAAUUUUACUUUGGUUUCAAUGCUAAGAUAAAAAAUGUUACAGGACAUGUAAACUGUGAAAUAUGCCAUUUAAAAAGAUUUCUCUUAUAGCAGUAAUACAUAGCAAUAUGUAAAGGCCAACUAAUAUUUUUUGACCUUGUUGUUCUGCCAUUUACACGAUAUGGCAUUCCACCAGUGAGUAGAAGAUGUGGCAAGGGGUCAGAGAUGUUCAUGCCCUUGCCAUUUAAGAGCUUGACCUGUGAGUUGCUUAUACAGCACUACCAUUAACAUCCUUCUGGCCAUAACUGCUGGUCACAUGACCUCAGCAGGCUUCCAAAGAACCUGGGGAAUGUGCUUGUUAUUCUGGCCAUCCAUGUACCCAGUUAAAAUUUGGAGGAAAAGUGUUAAUGGAGAAAACUAGCAGUCACGACCACAGCUAUGAGAGAGCAGACAGAGUAUAUAUCACACAAAUACAACACAUUAGUAAACACUUAACUGAAAAACUGUUUCAAACAUUGAUUUCUAAUAAAGAAAAUAAUUGCCACUUUUCUUUGCUUACUUAUUUUAUUUUAUUUUUUUAAUUUCAAGAUUUUGCUCUUGUUGCCCAGGCCGGAGUGUAAUGGUGUGAUCUUAGCUCACUGCAACCUCCACCUCCCAGGUUCAAGAGAUUCUCUGCCUCAGCCUCCCGAGUAGCUGGGAUUACAGGUGCCUGCCACUACACCUGGCUAAUUUUCUGUAUUUUUAGAAGAGAUAGGAUUUAACUUGCCAGGCUGGUCUCAAACUCCUGACCUCAGGUAAUCCACCCGCCUCAGCCUCCCAAAGUGCUGGGAUUACAGGUGUGAGCCACCAUGACUGGCCUGCUUACUUAUUUUUAUAAAGCCAAAGACAAUAUUAAUUUUCAGACUAAAAUAUACGGUCACUAGGUGUUUCUUUUACAGUGAUAACUUCUAAUUAACCUAAGAAACAGAAUGUUAAAUUAGAAAAAAAAAUUCUUAAAGGCGUGCAGCUGACAUAUUUUACAGAAAUCUAUGGGAUUAAGAAUUUGUACCAUUUGUUCAAAGUAUCCUGAUUGCCAGCACAGAUUCAGAACUCAUAACUGAUCUAUCGGCUCUCAGGAUAUGAUUGUUGUACUAAAAUUACAGAUGUUUCUCAUAAGUGUGAGAAAGAUGUUAUGAAUCUCCAAGCAUGAAAGAUAUUCCCAAAUCUUAAGAGGGAGAAGAUGAAGGUUGAUGGAUUUCACACAAAGUAAAGUUGCAUAAAGUUACCA